UUGUCUCAAAGAUUAAGCCAUGCAUGUCUCAGUACAAGCCAAAUUAAGGUGAAACCGCGAAAGGCUCAUUAAAUCAGUUAUGGUUCCUUAGAUCGUACCAACGUUACUUGGAUAACUGUGGUAAUUCUAGAGCUAAUACAUGCAAACAGAGCUCCGACCGGAGACGGAAGGAGCGCUUUUAUUAGAUCAAAACCAAUCGGUGGCGGUUUCCGCUGUCAUCGUACAAUUUGGUGACUCUGAAUAACUUUACGCUGAUCGCACGGUCUUGCACCGGCGACGCAUCUUUCAAAUGUCUGCCUUAUCAACUGUCGAUGGUAGGUUCUGCGCCUACCAUGGUUGUAACGGGUAACGGGGAAUCAGGGUUCGAUUCCGGAGAGGGAGCCUGAGAAACGGCUACCACAUCCAAGGAAGGCAGCAGGCGCGCAAAUUACCCACUCCCGGCACGGGGAGGUAGUGACGAAAAAUAACGAUACGGGACUCAUCCGAGGCCCCGUAAUCGGAAUGAGUACACUCUAAACCCUUUAACGAGGAUCAAUUGGAGGGCAAGUCUGGUGCCAGCAGCCGCGGUAAUUCCAGCUCCAAUAGCGUAUAUUAAAGUUGUUGCGGUUAAAAAGCUCGUAGUCGAAUCUGUGUCCCGCGCCGCCGGUUCAUCGUUCGCGGUGUUAACUGGCGUGUCGCGGGACGUCCUGCCGGUGGGCUUAGCUCGCAAGGGCGGCCCAACUCAAUCCCGCCGCGGUGCUCUUCAUUGAGUGUCGAGGUGGGCCGGCACGUUUACUUUGAACAAAUUAGAGUGCUUAAAGCAGGCUAAAACUUUGCCUGAAUACUGUGUGCAUGGAAUAAUGGAAUAGGACCUCGGUUCUAUUUUGUUGGUUUUCGGAACCCCGAGGUAAUGAUUAAUAGGAACGGAUGGGGGCAUUCGUAUUGCGACGUUAGAGGUGAAAUUCUUGGAUCGUCGCAAGACGGACAGAAGCGAAAGCAUUUGCCAAAAACGUUUUCAUUGAUCAAGAACGAAAGUUAGAGGUUCGAAGGCGAUCAGAUACCGCCCUAGUUCUAACCAUAAACGAUGCCAGCUAGCGAUCCGCCGACGUUCCUCCGAUGACUCGGCGGGCAGCUUCCGGGAAACCAAAGCUUUUGGGUUCCGGGGGAAGUAUGGUUGCAAAGCUGAAACUUAAAGGAAUUGACGGAAGGGCACCACCAGGAGUGGAGCCUGCGGCUUAAUU
This 1220-nucleotide ribosomal RNA is filed under the name Neoadelium genitale. Its description in RNAcentral is "SSU rRNA". It matches the Rfam family "Eukaryotic small subunit ribosomal RNA", at positions 32 to 1195 of the family's 1831-position model. Lineage: Eukaryota; Metazoa; Arthropoda; Insecta; Coleoptera; Tenebrionidae. The record is from RNAcentral.